GAUGAAGAACGUAGCGAAAUGCGAUAAGUAGUGUGAAUUGCAGAAUUCAGUGAAUCAUCGAAUCUUUGAACGCACAUUGCGCCCUUUGGUAUUCCAAAGGGCAUGCCUGUUCGAGCGUCAUUUGUACCCUCAAGCUUUGCUUGGUGUUGGGCGUCUUGUCUCUAGCUUUGCUGGAGACUCGCCUUAAAGUAAUUGGCAGCCGGCCUACUGGUUUCGGAGCGCAGCACAAGUCGCACUCUCUAUCAGCAAAGGUCUAGCAUCCAUUAAGCCUUUUUUUCAACUUUUGACCUCGGAUCAGGUAGGGAUACCCGCUGAACUUAAGCAUAUCAAUAAGAGGAGGA
RNAcentral lists this unclassified non-coding RNA (341 nucleotides) under soil metagenome. Its description in RNAcentral is "partial contains 5.8S ribosomal RNA, internal transcribed spacer 2, and large subunit ribosomal RNA". The stretch from base 1 to 120 matches the Rfam family "5.8S ribosomal RNA", at positions 35 to 154 of the family's 154-position model. The record is from RNAcentral.